CAGAAAUCUGGAAGAUACAAUGGGCAGAAGAAAGACCCCUUUUUCCUCCUCACCUGGAACCCUGGAGUUUAUCUACAUCUGAAGGUCAAAUCAUCAUGUUUCACCAAGAAGAGUAAACGGAAAAAGAGAGGAAGGAAGAUUGAAAUAGGAACAAUGAUAAAGAUGACCACAAUUUGCCGGACAUGUCGUAGGUCAUUAAUGGCCAAACCAGAGAGAUGGUUCAUUCAUUGA
This 231-nucleotide long non-coding RNA is filed under the name Monodelphis domestica (gray short-tailed opossum). Its description in RNAcentral is "lncRNA (ENSMODG00000042580.1)". The record is from RNAcentral. Lineage: Eukaryota; Metazoa; Chordata; Mammalia; Didelphimorphia; Didelphidae.